Molecule: long non-coding RNA, 3653 nt
Organism: Homo sapiens (human)
Lineage: Eukaryota; Metazoa; Chordata; Mammalia; Primates; Hominidae
Exons: 1
Source: RefSeq, marked validated
AAUGAAUCCAACUACUGUCCUUGUCCUCUCCUCUCUAGGUUUGUGGAGACUGAAUUCCACAAACCUAGGGACAGGGCACUCUCUAGGGGCAAGUCAACUCUCAAUUAUAGUGAGGGCAGGUUCCCCAGUUGCCAGCCUACACCCUGGCCAGCCACCCAAGGGAAUACCUGCUGCUGCUAAGGCAGUCAAUGUUGGGAGGGUCAGGGAAGGGGAGAGGAAGUAGCUGAGUGUAGAGAUUAUCCAGGCUUUCCUUCCCGUCCUCUGUACAGAAAGGCAGACAUACACUGACUCCUGAAGUGCCCCAGGAUCAUAGUUGGUUCUUCUUAGGGGGAGGGAGUGAAACGGUGGCCUUGCUCCAAUUCCAGGCCUCUGGAGAAAGGAGUGCUCAACUGGAGAGUCUCAGAACCUUUUACAGUACUUCAGCAGGCCCAGCACCCAACCUUCCCCACCAUACCCCUGCCCUGGGAAUGCCCCUUACCACAGUGGCUUCCAUUCCUGACAUUUGAACCAGCUCCUGCACUUGAAGGACAAGGCAGCCACUGGGCAGCUCCGGGAGGCGGGAGGCGUGACUCCUUCAUAUCAGGCCAUCUGGAGGAGCACCAGAUUUCCCUCUUGUGAAACAACCCCCCACAGUGGGGAUUUAAUGGUCACCACACAAGCCCCAAAAAACCAGGCCCUGCAGAGCCAUGACUUCACAGGGGAGAAAACCAGCCCAAGAGGCUGCCCUCACCCAACACUUAGCUCUAAGUCCAGACUCUUAAAGGUUCUGUUAAAGAUCUGCGGCCAGGCGCAGUGGCUCACAUCUGUAAUCCCAGCACUUUGGGAGGCCGAGGUGGGCGGAUCACGAGGUCAGGAGAGCGAGACCAUCCUGGCUAACACAGUGAAGCCCUGUCUCUACUAAAAAUACAAAAAAUUAGCCAGGUGUGGUGGCGGGCACCUGUAGUACCAGCUACUUGGGAGGCUGAGGCAGGAGAAUGGCGUGAACCCAGGAGGCAGAGCUUGCAGUGAGCCGAGAUCACGCCACUGCACUCCAACCUGGGUGACAGAGCGAGACUCCGUCUCAAAAAAAAAAAAAAAAAAAAAAGAUUUGCCUAGUGAGCUUGGCCAACCCAAGAGCCUUCCUGGGCUCUCAGGUUUCUUGAGGCAAAACUUCUAAAGAUGCAAAUAGAAUCCUUGGUAGCUACAAAGCUCAUCUAGCCAAAUUAUAAGUACUAUCCAAGCCCAGGAUUCAUUCUUGAAGAUGAGAUGUAAAAGCACUGCUGGGCCCUUGCAAAGGGAGAGAUCAGAGAAAAUAGGAGAACGAACACCAGCUCAUGCCAAUCUCAGUCUCAUGAGCUACAGAGAAAAAGAGCCAAAAAAGUUUAUCCUGGCUCAGCCACCUUCUGGCUUUGUAGCUACAGGCAAGUUAUUUAACUUUUCUGAAUGUUGGUUUUUCCAUCUGGAAAAAGGAGACAGGAAAAGCUGCCACUGGAGGCUACCUUAAGGGUCAAUGAGUGAAAUGGGGUUGAGUGCUUAAUGAACUGUUAAAACAUGACACAGAUGGGUGAGGUGACAUCUGACUGCUCUUCACAGCAGUCCUUGCAUGGUGAGCAGAUGCAAUCAGUGUGCUCGUUCAUUCACUUGUUCAUCAAACACCAACAGUACCCACUUGUGCCAGGCCUUGUGCUGGGCACCGUAGGGGCUAUGGAAGGAGUAAGACACAGUCAUGCUCUCAAGGAACUCGCUGUCCAGCAGAGUGAUAGGACAUGAAUACAUACUUCUAGCAAAGGCUGAGUAGCAUUAGGCAGGUGGCCAGAUGAGGUCAGAGCUCUGGCCCUAGUGCCCUGUAGUAAGUUGCGAGGGAGUAGGAAAUGAAGACAAAACAGCAAGAGCACAGGUCCAGCACAAGAAGGUGAAGGACAUGGAAAGAGGAGCAGAGCAUGAUAAAGCUACAAAAGUAGGGGGCAAGUCAUGAGGUCCGGGUCACUGGGGAGCCCUGGACAGGCUCUGAAUGGGAGAUAGACUAGACUGACAAAGCAGCUCUUUCUGGAGACCUCCUGUGGAGGGUCCCCUCUUCUACCCUUGGGAGACGAGGUGUCAUUCACUUCACGAUACACAUGGGGAAAGGAAGUUGGACAGGGGAAGGCACUUGUCUAAGGUCACUCAGUGGUCAUGCCAGUGCAAAGCACCCAAAGCCUGGUCCAGGUCCUGCCACCUCCUGCGUGGGCUCCAUCUUCUCGGCUCAGUUCAAGCCUUUAUUAUCAGAGUCCCUCUGUGUGCCAGGCUCUGUGCUGAAUGUCCGUGUCGGCCACAAAUUGCACUAACGGUGCUUACUGCCACUUCCUCUCCGACCUUACCUCCAAAGACCCAGCCGGGCCUAACCCUCACACACAGCCAGAGGAAUCCUUCCCAAACACAGUUAAUCACAUCGCUCAUCCGUUUAAAACUGGCUUACUAGAGCCAACACAGGAUAAAAUCCACAAUCAGUCCCAAACCCAUCUUUCUCUGCCGUCUCUAGACCACAUUCACUGAGCACCAAGGCCUGCACGCUUCGCAGCCAGCCCUCCUGCUCUCCCCCUUGCCCUCCAGCCACACUGGCCCUCAACCCCCAACACUGGGCCCACCUCUGAGCCCUGCAUCAAACACCAGCACCCCCUUCGCCGAGCUCAUUCUUCAUCAUUCCUCAGAGCUCAGCUUAAGCAUCACCUUCCUUCCCUGCGACAGGGUCAGGUCCUUUCCUGUGCGCUCCGCAGCACCCUGCCUGUCCCUCGGAGUCCUCGCGAGAGGAACUAGAUAACUGUGAUCCCCGCGCACAGCACGGUGUCUGCCUAGGACACAGUGAGCGCUUCAACGCGCUGAACUAAACGAAUGAAGGGGAACACCAACUCAGCUGUCACCCCCGCCCCCAAGUGUCACUGGCUAGAAGAUCUUCCCCCGGUUCGCCGGCAGCACCGGUGGGUCUUGUCACCUCUGCGCCCCGCAGCCCUCCGGAGGCUGCAGUUGCUGUCUGCUGACAGGCGUCCCCUCAGGAGAACGGGAGCUCCUCCAGCGCAGGGCCCUGCUCAGCACCCCUGGUCCCGGGGGCCCCCACGGAGGCCGCCGCGCUCAGUGAAACUUUGCCGCGCGCAGCAGUGGCCGGAGACCCGCGCGGACCCUCUCCCCGCGGGGACCCGCCAGGGCGAGUCGCCCCUCCCCCGCGGCAGACGACCCGACCUGGGCCAAGGUCGGCCAAGUGCUCGCCGCCUGCCCAGCGGCCCUUGGACCCACAGGACCCGGACCCGAGUGCGCGGAAGCCUCCGAGCCGCGGCCAGGUCUCAGAAUGCGCGGCGGGGCAGCCCGGCCCGUCAAGCAGCGAAGCCGAAACUAGAAGCCUGAGGUCUGGCUUGGUCACUGUUUGCUGGGGAACUCCGACGAGCAACUACCCUUCGGGGACUCAGUUUCCCCCGGGCCAAGUGAGACGGACAGCUGCGGCUCCCGCGAGAACUCGCGCGGGAACAGGAGCUGCGGGCUCCGCACAGCGCCCGGCACGUAGACCCAGUCUACUAACGGGCUGGAAGGUCGCGCUCCCGCCUCCGCGCCUCCCUAGAACCUUUCUCACCUCAAGCUCGGGCUCCCGGACUCUCUCACCUCACGGCCCCUCCUUCCACCUUGGGCCGCCCAGCCUCAACCGCCCU